RNAcentral lists this transfer RNA (77 nucleotides) under Hymenobacter daecheongensis DSM 21074. RNAcentral's name for it is "tRNA_Asp_GTC". It matches the Rfam family "tRNA". From Rfam's summary of the family: Transfer RNA (tRNA) molecules are approximately 80 nucleotides in length. Their secondary structure includes four short double-helical elements and three loops (D, anti-codon, and T loops). The record is from RNAcentral. Lineage: Bacteria; Pseudomonadati; Bacteroidota; Cytophagia; Cytophagales; Hymenobacteraceae.
GGUUCGGUAGUUCAGUUGGUUAGAAUGCCGCCCUGUCACGGCGGAGGUCGCGGGUUCGAGUCCCGUCCGGACCGCGA